This 218-nucleotide ribosomal RNA is filed under the name Staphylococcus epidermidis NIHLM049. RNAcentral describes it as "partial 16S ribosomal RNA". It matches the Rfam family "Bacterial small subunit ribosomal RNA", at positions 1 to 212 of the family's 1533-position model. Lineage: Bacteria; Bacillati; Bacillota; Bacilli; Caryophanales; Staphylococcaceae. The record is from RNAcentral.
UUUUAUGGAGAGUUUGAUCCUGGCUCAGGAUGAACGCUGGCGGCGUGCCUAAUACAUGCAAGUCGAGCGAACAGACGAGGAGCUUGCUCCUCUAACGUUAGCGGCGGACGGGUGAGUAACACGUGGAUAACCUACCUAUAAGACUGGGAUAACUUCGGGAAACCGGAGCUAAUACCGGAUAAUAUAUUGAACCGCAUGGUUCAAUAGUGAAAGUACGG